Non-coding RNA from Cinara cedri, 229 nucleotides. The record is from the annotation of a GenBank genome assembly. Lineage: Eukaryota; Metazoa; Arthropoda; Insecta; Hemiptera; Aphididae.
AACGCUUCGACACGAAUUUCGGUUGUACAUGUUUUAAAUGGUUGACAUUCGAUUAUAAAAAUUUUAUGUACGAGUAGUAAUCAGUUUUUAACCAGUAAAGUACAGUUUAUGAUAUAAUAUUAUAUGGUAUGUUAUAGCAGUGGUUGAGAUUUAAAAGCGGCGUUGUUUAAAUUAAUUGCAAGAGUUUCGCUAGACAGGGCCGAAUUAACAGGGCACUAUAGGUACUGUG